RNAcentral lists this ribosomal RNA (350 nucleotides) under uncultured bacterium. RNAcentral describes it as "bacterial SSU rRNA". It matches the Rfam family "Bacterial small subunit ribosomal RNA", at positions 356 to 698 of the family's 1533-position model. The record is from RNAcentral.
AGGGAAUAUUGGACAAUGAGCGAAAGCUUGAUCCAGCCAUGCCGCGUGUGCGAUGACGGCCUUCGGGUUGUAAAGCACUUUAGGUAACGAGGAAAAGUUAGGUGUUAAUACCAUCUAACCUUGACGUUAAUUACAGAAUAAGCACCGGCUAAAUCCGUGCCAGCAGCCGCGGUAAUACGGAUGGUGCAAGCGUUAAUCGGAAUUACUGGGCGUAAAGCGCGCGUAGGUGGCAUAUUAAGUUAGAUGUGAAAUCCCGAGGCUUAACCUCGGAACUGCAUCUAAAACUAAUAAGCUAGAGUACUAGAGAGGAAAGUAGAAUUCUUAGUGUAGCGGUGGAAUGCGUAGAUAUU